RNAcentral lists this ribosomal RNA (330 nucleotides) under uncultured bacterium. RNAcentral describes it as "bacterial SSU rRNA". It matches the Rfam family "Bacterial small subunit ribosomal RNA", at positions 568 to 898 of the family's 1533-position model. The record is from RNAcentral.
UGCGUAGGCGGCCUUGUAAGUAUGGUGUGAAAUCUCCCGGCUUAACUGGGAGGGUGCGCUAUUAACUGCAGGGCUAGAGUGCGGGAGAGGAAAGUGGAAUUCCUGGUGUAGCGGUGAAAUGCGUAGAUAUCAGGAGGAACACCGGUGGUGUAAACGGCUUUCUGGACCGUAACUGACGCUGAGGCACGAAAGCGUGGGUAGCAAACAGGAUUAGAUACCCUGGUAGUCCACGCCCUAAACGAUGCAUAUUUGGUGUGGGCCAUUCAGUUGGUCCGUGCCGGAGCUAACGCGUUAAAUAUGCCGCCUGGGGAGUACAGUCGCAAGGCUGAA